Molecule: ribosomal RNA, 497 nt
Filed under: uncultured bacterium
Lineage: Bacteria
Description: partial 16S ribosomal RNA
Rfam family: Bacterial small subunit ribosomal RNA
Source: RNAcentral
GAUGAACGCUGGCGGCGUGCCUAAUACAUGCAAGUCGAGCGAACAGACGAGGAGCUUGCUCCUCUGACGUUAGCGGCGGACGGGUGAGUAACACGUGGAUAACCUACCUAUAAGACUGGGAUAACUUCGGGAAACCGGAGCUAAUACCGCAUAAUAUAUUGAACCGCAUGGUUCAAUAGUGAAAGACGGUUUUGCUGUCACUUAUAGAUGGAUCCGCGCCGCAUUAGCUAGUUGGUAAGGUAACGGCUUACCAAGGCGACGAUGCGUAGCCGACCUGAGAGGGUGAUCGGCCACACUGGAACUGAGACACGGUCCAGACUCCUACGGGAGGCAGCAGUAGGGAAUCUUCCGCAAUGGGCGAAAGCCUGACGGAGCAACGCCGCGUGAGUGAUGAAGGUCUUCGGAUCGUAAAACUCUGUUAUUAGGGAAGAACAAAUGUGUAAGUAACUAUGCACGUCUUGACGGUACCUAAUCAGAAAGCCACGGCUAACUACGUG